UGAGGAAUAUUGCGCAAUGGGGGCAACCCUGACGCAGCAACGCCGCGUGCGUGAGGAUGGUUUUCGGAUUGUAAAGCUCUGUCGAGCGGAAAGAAAUGCAUUAUGGCUAAUAUCCAUAAUGCUUGACGGUACCGCUAAAGGAAGCACCGGCUAACUCCGUGCCAGCAGCCGCGGUAAUACGGGGGGUGCAAGCGUAGUUCGGAAUCAUUGGGCGUAAAGAGCGUGUAGGCGGCUUAACAAGUCAGAUGUGAAAUCCCUGGGCUUAACACAGGAAGUGCAUUUGAAAAUGUUUGGCUUUAGUAAGGUAGAGGAAAGUGGAAUUCCUGGUGGAGAGGUGAAAUUCGUAGAGAUCAGGAUGAACACCGGUGGCGAAGGCGACUUUCUGGCCGUAUACUGACGCUGAGACGCGAAAGCGUGGGUAGCAAACA
RNAcentral lists this ribosomal RNA (428 nucleotides) under uncultured prokaryote. RNAcentral describes it as "bacterial SSU rRNA". It matches the Rfam family "Bacterial small subunit ribosomal RNA", at positions 355 to 774 of the family's 1533-position model. The record is from RNAcentral.